RNAcentral lists this ribosomal RNA (495 nucleotides) under uncultured bacterium. RNAcentral's name for it is "partial 16S ribosomal RNA". It matches the Rfam family "Bacterial small subunit ribosomal RNA", at positions 28 to 523 of the family's 1533-position model. The record is from RNAcentral.
GAUGAACGCUGGCGGCGUGCUUAACACAUGCAAGUCGAGCGAAGCACUUAAGAAUGAUUCUUCGGAUGAGCUCUUUUGUGACUGAGCGGCGGACGGGUGAGUAACGCGUGGGUAACCUGCCUCAUACAGGGGGAUAACAGUUAGAAAUGACUGCUAAUACCGCAUAAGCGCACAGUGCCGCAUGGCACCGUGUGAAAAACUCCGGUGGUAUGGGAUGGACCCGCGUUGGAUUAGGCAGUUGGCGGGGUAACGGCCCACCAAACCGACGAUCCAUAGGCGGCCUGAGAGGGUGGACGGCCACAUUGGGACUGAGACACGGCCCAAACUCCUACGGGAGGCAGCAGUGGGGAAUAUUGCACAAUGGGGGAAACCCUGAUGCAGCGACGCCGCGUGAGUGAAGAAGUAAUUCGUUAUGUAAAGCUCUAUCAGCAGGGAAGAAAAUGACGGUACCUGACUAAGAAGCCCCGGCUAACUACGUGCCAGCCGCCGCAGUAA